Molecule: long non-coding RNA, 4255 nt
Organism: Helianthus annuus (common sunflower)
Lineage: Eukaryota; Viridiplantae; Streptophyta; Magnoliopsida; Asterales; Asteraceae
Exons: 4
Source: RefSeq, a predicted model, not a curated record
UGUUUACUACUCCAGACCAAAAAUGCAAUUUAGGAGAAUCAAAAGAGAGAGGAAGAGAGUGGCUGACGGAGAAUGUUUAAACGGCUCCGCCGCCUCCGCCGUGUUAUACCGUCUGACCAGUCAGUCGUCGGUCGUUUAAUAGGUGGAUGGUGGUGAUGUUCGUCGAUCUUUGUUGCGGCGGUCUCCAUUUCUUUCGAUCUGUUUUUUAUAGGACCCGAAAGAUUCGUCAUCGGAAACCCUUAGCGGCUGUGCAUGGCGGUGUGGUCGCCGAUAUGUGUUCUGGUUGGUCUAUGUGGGUAUUCACAUGUUGCAUUCAGCGAUCACCAGUUAUUGGCCUCUGAUUUGGUUAUCAGAAGCUUUAGGGUUUUCAGAUGCGGAGGUGACCGGUAAUCUGCCGCCGUCUCAGGUCUGUUCUUCAAGCCGACGGUAGUCGGCGAUGGUUUUACCAUCGUCGGUGGUAACCGGUUAUCUAAUUGUCUUUUGGGUCAUUAGGGCUGUGAUGAUGACUGACAGUCAUCUGAGCCUCCAUUAUGGGUUUGAGGCCUCCCAUUGUUAAAUAUUACUUAGUACACAUCAUAAAUCACAGUCUAAGGUGCAAGAUUUGAGAAUGUGGAACUGAUAUUGUACAAAGGUUUUUAUAUUCUUGAUUGGAUUUGGUGUUUUGCAAGAUAUGUAUGAAUUUGAUGAGAAAGAUUUUCAUUACAAUACAGGUGUUUGUUUUCGUGGUUUGCUCUGAUUGACCUAUUUGGGCGGUCAUCCCCUUUUAAGACGUGUGUCUUCCAUCCUCACACCUUUGUUCCGAUCGACCUAUUUGAGGUGCGGUGGGUGUUGCCGACCACUGGUCUUCCUCCAGUUGUUGACAGUGGAUGGUGAUGUUGGUCACGGAACUGUAGAAGUCUGUGUUCAUUAUAUCAUGUUGUGGGUCAUUUGCUAGCACCUUAAAAUGUCACAUGAAUUGUGGUCUGGUCGCCAACCACCGCUCCUGGUGGCGGACGGUGAUGAUUGUGUUGGGUGUGUAUAUCAUUCAAGUUGUUUUUCCACUUUGUCAUUAAUUUUCUUAUGGGUUCUGGUUUCUUGGCUGUGAUCUUUUUGUGAGCCUACUAUACCGACAUGAUUAUACUAUAUGUUUAUUGAAUAGUAAAAAAGGGCAUCUUAUUUUUAGGGCUUUUGGUUGCUUGGUUGUGACCUAUAUGUGAGCCUACUGGUAUUUUGCUACAGUUUUGUUGGUUGGCUGUGGUAAUGGGUUCUGCCGCUAGGCUAUGAUGAUCUCAAAAGUCUUUUUGGGUGAUGAUGGUGUGGCAAGGAUGGUGGAUGGUAGGUUAUGACCUGCAACCCACCUUGCAACCAUGAUUUCUGGUAGAUCUGAGCCACGUAGUUUUGCUGUACCUUUUUUUAAACAUGCUUCAACAUGUGUAUUGAUCAUAUUUCUAAAAGGAGAGGGUACAAGUGAAGUGGCUAUAACCACAUUGAAGGACUGUGGGCAAAGAAGCCGGUUAAUAUGUAUUAUUUUAAAAGUUUAAUUUUUAUUAAUAGGAUGUUAAAAGUUCUGUUCAUGAUUGUUGAAAAAAUGUUUUUUGUGAAGUUUGUUUGGAUGGAAGUCCACCUGCAUAACAGCUUGAUGCAGGUUUUGGAGAUGAUGUCAACAACGGGUUGGUUCACAUACAGGUUGGAAUACAUGUGUGUGGAAGAAGUGUUUCUAGAUUGGGGUCUGUUUUCAAAGUGAGAUUAGGUAGGUAGUUCACCGAUUGAUAUAACGGCCAUGAGGGAGAGGUAGGGGUGUCGAAAGCGGACAUCAGGGAGGGUUAAUUGCAAAUUUGCAAUGGACCUCAGAAGUCCACUGGAUGAGACGGUGGGCAUGCUAGAAGUCUGCUGAUGUUGACGGUGGGCUUCAGUUCUGGACUUUUUUGAUGCAGUCGAUCACAGGGAAGUGAUGUUGAUGAAAGACUCAAUUCCGCUGCUAAUCCAUGUGGACUACGAAAGUCCAUGGAACAGAUAUAUUUAUAUAUAACAUUUAUUGAAACAUGUAUCUUUAUUUUAAUGGGUUCUAUUGAUAAACAUUACACUACUCAAACAAAUCUUGAAUUAUCACAAACUGGAGGGUAUUCCAAGACUAAAAAUUUGACAUGGGUGGAUGGUUUUGGUUGGUUAUAUGGCACGAAUGGUUUUUUUUUAACACAGAUGUUUUUUUUAUAGUAUAGAUUUUGUUUUUGUUUGUUUUAUGUUUGGUUUAGGGCUUAUCAUAAAAUGGUAAUUAUUUUGCAUAAAAUGGAAUACAAAGAUAUAGAGAUUUGGACACGGUAAUUAUUUUGACCACUUGUGUGCCGCAAAGCGCGCGCUAGGUUUAAAUCCUAGUAUAUUAAAAAGGAGAAGUGACGUACAAGAUAGUAAUUUUGUCAUACGUAUCAAUUUUAAAGCAAUAUGUACAAGGUGGUUAAAGCCAUGAAAAUUGUAAUUUCCACUAAGUUUAAGACGCCUAAAAGGGUAAUUGUGGGAUUUCAGCAUGAAAUUCUAGAAAACCCAACCAGCUCCCGGUAAAUGAAUCGUCUGGCGUUCAAUUCGUCUUUUCAAUGGAAACAUAACAGCAUUUUAUAGCUCAGGAGAUGAGGGUUAUGGGAGAUACAUGGAGAUAGCACUCAAGAGACGAUACUCAUCCUAGGGCCACCAUAGCCGCAGGCUUCACUUCCGUUUAAUUUUCAUUUUUUCAAUCUCUACAUCCCAUCUUACUCUAUGUAUCUAUUUUUAACCUAAUCAAUCUUUGUUCUUUUUCUAUUUGUAUGGGUUCAAGGACAAUUGUGCUAACUCAGGGUGUUCAGAUCUAGGGUUCUGACAAAAUGGAGAUGGUUACGGGUUCCGGUGGCGAGUGUGUUAAGAUUAGACAACUAUCAGAGGAGGAUCGACCUUCCAACCAUGCUACGGCAAAGAUUCCGGCAACUACGAUGAAUGUUUGUGGCUAACCCGAUUGUGACGUGUUAUUGGUUCGGUUUGUUGCCAACCCGAAUCUUUAUGUCCAGUUGGAGUUCGUAGCUAGGGCCGUCUUCUCAGCAACCGUGGUUCAUGACUAAUACGCCGUUAUUGUUGUGCCUGAUGUAAGUAUCCGUGCAUAAGAAUACAAGCCAUGGAGAUUAUCAAACAAAAGAACAAUGUGCAGACGUUUUCCAGUAUAUUCUUCCAUACGCUAAGGCUUCUUCUGUAAGCCUUUCAUAAAUCAUAAUCAGUUGAGAGAUGACGAGAUGAGCAAAAGGCAUAGCAUCGCGGCGUCCUCUGUGAGAGAUGACGAGAGUAUGGACAGUUCGCCGUCGGUUCCGAGUUCCUAUUUUACCGCACUAUUGUGUGCAUAGUCAUUGCUAGAAUGGCUUUAUAGUAUGUAUUUCAGCAUCUGUGUUAAACUUAAAAACGACAGUCGAGGUGGCGGUUGUGGAGGAAGUCGUGGCGGUGGUCGAGUUGCAGUCGAGGCGGAGGUGGAGGCGGUGGAGAAGGCGGAGCUUUGUCGACUCUACUGCAACACUUACGAGGUUCUUGAAAAUCAUAAAAAUGGGAAAAAACAUGAACAGAAUAUGGAAAUACAGGAAGAAUUACAGCGGCUUGUGGGAAAAACACAAAUGUCGGUUCCCAUGGAGAGCCGGAAGUCAAAGUCGAAAGUCAAAUGAUGCAGGCUGAAGGACAAGGGAAUAGUUUAAAGAGAAAAAUGAGAGAGGAAAUACUAACCAAUUAUUAUUGCAAUGUUCUUGACAUCAGUCGUAAGGAAUCGAGAUGGUGAAGUCCCGUUAUACCCUUUUCAGAACCAAACAUUUCUCCUUUAAGUGGGAACCCUCAUUUGUUUAGAGUUCAUACGUUCGGGCUGCAGCGGACCUGGCUUUUAUAUAUGGGGAGGUGUGGAUCUUUUUAGCUACAGGAGAGGUUUAUUGACACGUCUUAGUGGAAAGGUGAAAAAAUAAAGUGCAGUAUCAAUUUCAGUGAGCCAACCUUAGGUUAAAAUGCUUAGUAUGUGCUCUGAAGAGAGUCCCUUGUUCUGGAUGCUUAGUGAGUUGGUGAAGCUAGCAAACCACAACAGUUCAGUGGCCAAUCUUAUUUUUGCAUGUUUGCAUCGCUGAAUAUUUCCAUCGCUUAUUCAACCAUAUUUUUUCUCACGGUAUAUUGUUUUGUAUUAUUAAAGUAUAUUGUUUGAAAAUGGAAUUGGAUUAUAAUAUCUUGGACAAACCUUAUUAGUUUAGAAAGGUUGUAUGUUUUAAAAUCAACACUAGGCCAGUUUUGACCC